This 294-nucleotide long non-coding RNA is filed under the name Nicotiana benthamiana. RNAcentral describes it as "long non-coding RNA (NBEN_LNC035680)". The record is from RNAcentral. Lineage: Eukaryota; Viridiplantae; Streptophyta; Magnoliopsida; Solanales; Solanaceae.
CCUGAACUGCCGAAAACCAAAUGAUGGUGAAAGAAACAUCUAUGUGGGUGACGGCAAGAAGGUGCCAGUUGAAGCUAUUGGCAAAUUUAGGCUGUCUUGUGCUAGCUUGAGGCUUUGGUUUCUGUUUCUUAUUUCCAUUUCUGAUCUGUCCAGGAAAUUGGUUUAUAUUUUGUUACGAUCCAAUUUCAUAACGGGUCAUGAUAGUGUCCAACGACAUUACUAGCAAGCCAAGGCGAAAAAAUAUACUAACUAAACUUUCAGUCACUCUAGAUUAGUUGAAAUAAUUCUUUAAAA